RNAcentral lists this ribosomal RNA (857 nucleotides) under uncultured bacterium. RNAcentral describes it as "bacterial SSU rRNA". It matches the Rfam family "Bacterial small subunit ribosomal RNA", at positions 1 to 827 of the family's 1533-position model. The record is from RNAcentral.
CGGAGAGUUUGAUCCUGGCUCAGGACGAACGCUGGCGGCAUGCCUAAUACAUGCAAGUCGAACGAGCUUCCGUUGAAUGACGUGCUUGCACUGAUUUCAACAAUGAAGCGAGUGGCGAACUGGUGAGUAACACGUGGGGAAUCUGCCCAGAAGCAGGGGAUAACACUUGGAAACAGGUGCUAAUACCGUAUAACAACAAAAUCCGCAUGGAUUUUGUUUGAAAGGUGGCUUCGGCUAUCACUUCUGGAUGAUCCCGCGGCGUAUUAGCUAGAUGGUGAGGUAACGGCUCACCAUGGCAAUGAUACGUAGCCGACCUGAGAGGGUAAUCGGCCACAUUGGGACUGAGACACGGCCCAAACUCCUACGGGAGGCAGCAGUAGGGAAUCUUCCACAAUGGACGAAAGUCUGAUGGAGCAAUGCCGCGUGAGUGAAGAAGGGUUUCGGCUCGUAAAACUCUGUUGUUAAAGAAGAACACCUUUGAGAGUAACUGUUCAAGGGUUGACGGUAUUUAACCAGAAAGCCACGGCUAACUACGUGCCAGCAGCCGCGGUAAUACGUAGGUGGCAAGCGUUGUCCGGAUUUAUUGGGCGUAAAGCGAGCGCAGGCGGUUUUUUAAGUCUGAUGUGAAAGCCUUCGGCUCAACCGAAGAAGUGCAUCGGAAACUGGGAAACUUGAGCGCAGAAGAGGACAGUGGAACUUCAUGUGUAGCGGUGAAAUGCGUAGAUAUAUGGAAGAACACCAGUGGCGAAGGCGGCUGUCUGGUCUGUAACUGACGCUGAGGCUCGAAAGUAUGGGUAGCAAACAGGAUUAGAUACCCUGGUAGUCCAUACCGUAAACGAUGAAUGCUAAGUGUUGGA